UCUGGGAACGAGAUGCAAACCCUGGCUCAGCAUAGGGCCAAAGACGCUGACAAGAGGAUUUCUCACUGUGAGAGAAGUGAGCCACCAGAUAGAGAGGACACUCAAACAGCCCCAUGCAGAGGCCAAUAUAGAAAGGAUAAAAUAGCCAGCAUCAACUUACCGGCUUUGUAAGAGAGCCUUUAUAACUGAAUCCACUGCCCCGGUCAAGCCUUCAGAUGACUGCAGCUCUAGCCUACAUCUGGCUGCAAUCUCAGGUGUUCAGAUCAAGGGAAACUACUCUAAGAGGCUACACUUGAGGAACAACAACCAAGGAGCUUCAACUGCAUCUGGAUUUCAGGAGUCUGGAAAACUUUUCUUUUGAGCUAUUGACAGCCUUUAACAACUGAGUAAAGUGUACUCCUGUGAACAAAAUUCAGAGCCUGUUUGUUUCUCUCUACCUGAUUUCUCCAGAAUUUGGAAACUAUUUACUGACUCUUCUUAUUUCUGUUAACCAACCAGUGAUCUCUGGCUGCUGCUCAGAAGAACUAAGAAGGAUGGGUACCAUCUUUUGUUGGAACUCAGUUACAAAUAACCCUCACCAUACCAGCACUUUCUGAAUGAGCUCCUCUCUACCCUGAAGGCAAAAGACCCAAUAGUUAGGCUGGAAUAUUAUCACCCCUAUUCAGCCUGAAGAAGUUACAGAAAAUGGAUCUUCAUCUGUCUACAACCCUUAGGAUUAAGUGUUCUCUUAUAAUAGGGAGGGGGGAAUUGUCAGAGGCAUUUGAAUCAAAGCAACUCCAUUUCACACAGGGGCUAAGUGAAAUAAGGCUAAGACCUACUAGGCUGCAUUCCCAGGAGGUUAAGACAUUCUAAGUCACAGGAUGAGACAGGAGAGCGGCAUAAGAUGCAGGUCAGAAAGAUCUUGUGGAUAAAACAGGUUGCAGUAAAGAAGCCAGCCAAAACAUCAAAACCAAGAUGGCGACAAAAGUGACUUCUGGUCGUCUGCACUGCUACAUUCCCGCCAGCACCACGGCAGUUUACAAAUGCCAUGGCAAUGUCAGGAGGUUGCCCUACAUGUUCUAAAAUGGGGAGGAACCCUCAGUUCCAGGAAUUGCCCACCCCUUUCCUGGAAAACUCAUGAAUAAUCCACCCUUUGUUUAGCAUAUAAACAAGAAAUAACCAUAAAAAUGGGCAACUAGGUGUGCACCACUGCUCUUCUUAUGGAGUAGCCAUUCUUUCAUUCCUUUACUUUCAUAAUAAACUUGCUUUCACUUAAAAAAAAACUUGACCCUUACCUUAUGCCAUGUAUAAAAAUUAACUCACAAUGAAUCAGGAGGUAUUCCUUUUUCCUGACUGCCUUUGAACUGGGACAUCAUUUUUUUCCCUGUCUUCAGACUUGAACUGAAACAUCAGCUUUUCUUGAGUCUCAACCUGCUGUUCUUUGGACUAGAACUGCACCAUUGGCUCUCUUGGGUUUCCAGCUUAACAACUGUAGAUCUUGGAACUUGGCAGCUUUCAUA
This is a long non-coding RNA of Homo sapiens (human), 1499 nucleotides long. Lineage: Eukaryota; Metazoa; Chordata; Mammalia; Primates; Hominidae. The record is from Ensembl.